UCUCAGCUCUGCCUGUGCCAUGCCUGCCUGGAUCCUGCCAUGCUCCUGCCUUGAUGAUAAUGGACUGAACCUCUGAACCUGAAAUCACAACCAAUAGGUUGGAGGGGAGUUGAAGUCAAACAGAACAAAAGAUCAAGGUUGUCCAUGGGAGCUUUCUCCACCACCCUGAAAUCUAGUUCAAAAACAGGGUUUUGUCCCAGAGUCCUUCAUCAGAAGCCCUGCCUAAGACAGAAGUGAACCUCUAGUGUGAAAAGGAAAAGUCACAAUGGAAAAUACCCGAACAUUGCAAAACAAGAGAAGACAAGGCAAAAGCCCUCAUUUGAAAGAUGGACAAGGCAACCCAAU
RNAcentral lists this long non-coding RNA (345 nucleotides) under Mus musculus (house mouse). RNAcentral's name for it is "predicted gene 45556". The record is from RNAcentral. Lineage: Eukaryota; Metazoa; Chordata; Mammalia; Rodentia; Muridae.